RNAcentral lists this ribosomal RNA (472 nucleotides) under uncultured organism. RNAcentral describes it as "partial 16S ribosomal RNA". It matches the Rfam family "Bacterial small subunit ribosomal RNA", at positions 335 to 798 of the family's 1533-position model. The record is from RNAcentral.
ACUCCUGCGGGAGGCAGCAGUGGGGAAUAUUGCACAAUGGGCGCAAGCCUGAUGCAGCCAUGCCGCGUGUGUGAAGAAGGCCUUCGGGUUGUAAAGCACUUUCAGCGGGGAGGAAGGCGAUACGGUUAACAACCGUGUUGAUUGACGUUACCCGCAGAAGAAGCACCGGCUAACUCCGUGCCAGCAGCCGCGGUAAUACGGAGGGUGCAAGCGUUAAUCGGAGUUACUGGGCGUAAAGCGCACGCAGGCGGUCUGUCAAGUCGGAUGUGAAAUCCCCGGGCUCAACCUGGGAACUGCAUUCGAAACUGGCAGGCUUGAGUCUUGUAGAGGGGGGUAGAAUUCCAGGUGUAGCGGUGAAAUGCGUAGAGAUCUGGAGGAAUACCGGUGGCGAAGGCGGCCCCCUGGACAAAGACUGACGCUCAGGUGCGAAAGCGUGGGGAGCAAACAGGAUUAGAAACCCGAGUAGUCCCAU